Molecule: long non-coding RNA, 400 nt
Filed under: Phoenix dactylifera (date palm)
Lineage: Eukaryota; Viridiplantae; Streptophyta; Magnoliopsida; Arecales; Arecaceae
Description: long non-coding RNA (PDAC_LNC018390)
Source: RNAcentral
UUGUUGGUAAUCCCGUAAAACCAACGUAGGUUGUUGGUCAACCCGUAAAACCAACGUAGGUUGUUGGUGAACCCGUAAAACCAAUUGUAUAGGUUCAUUGGUGAGCCCGUAAAACCAACAUAGGUUUUUGGUGAACCCGGAAAACCAAAGUGUAAAGGUUUUUGGAUUGUGAGCCCGGAAAACAAUCCAACUGUAAUCCACGGGAUUAUAGUGAAUUCCCAAGGGGUCACUUGGGGAGUGGACGUAGGUGCUAAGGAGAGCACCGAACCACUAUACUUCUUGUUGUUUGUAUUGUGAUUUGUUUAAGUUCACUAACUCAUCAUUUAACACAAGUAAGAUAGUUAAAAUUAAAAGAAACCAAUUCACCCCCCCCCCUCUUGGCUUGUCACCUUGGGCAACA